GCCUGGGUGGCUCAGUUGGUUGAGUGUCUGACUUCGGCUCAGGUCAUGAUCUCCUGGGUUCAUGGGUUCAAGCUCCGUGUCAGGCU
RNAcentral lists this transfer RNA (86 nucleotides) under Felis catus (domestic cat). It matches the Rfam family "tRNA". From Rfam's summary of the family: Transfer RNA (tRNA) molecules are approximately 80 nucleotides in length. Their secondary structure includes four short double-helical elements and three loops (D, anti-codon, and T loops). Further hydrogen bonds mediate the characteristic L-shaped molecular structure. tRNAs have two regions of fundamental functional importance: the anti-codon, which is responsible for specific mRNA codon recognition, and the 3' end, to which the tRNAs corresponding amino acid is attached (by aminoacyl-tRNA synthetases). tRNAs cope with the degeneracy of the genetic code in two manners: having more than one tRNA (with a specific anti-codon) for a particular amino acid; and 'wobble' base-pairing, i.e. permitting non-standard base-pairing at the 3rd anti-codon position. The record is from Rfam by way of RNAcentral. Lineage: Eukaryota; Metazoa; Chordata; Mammalia; Carnivora; Felidae.